The sequence is a small nucleolar RNA, 223 nucleotides long. Its record names the gene U3. It matches the Rfam family "Small nucleolar RNA U3". From Rfam's summary of the family: Small nucleolar RNAs (snoRNAs) are involved in the processing and modification of rRNA in the nucleolus. There are two main classes of snoRNAs: the box C/D class, and the box H/ACA class. U3 snoRNA is a member of the box C/D class. The record is from Ensembl.
AAGACUAUACUUUCAGGGAAUAUUUCUUUAGUUUUUGGCUUGGAAACGUGAAAAGAAAGUUAUUUUCCACUUCUCACGAUGAUGAUUUGUGAUGCUUUUCUUUAAACCCCUGAGUCAGACAUUGGAGGGGUCUAUUGAACCUUUUUCAGUAUGUUGCUGAUGAUUGUUCUUUUGUUAUUCUCUUUUAGAGACGCAAGAGAGAAGAAAGCAUGUUCAGAGUGGC